This 1482-nucleotide ribosomal RNA is filed under the name Staphylococcus haemolyticus. Its description in RNAcentral is "bacterial SSU rRNA". It matches the Rfam family "Bacterial small subunit ribosomal RNA". The record is from RNAcentral. Lineage: Bacteria; Bacillati; Bacillota; Bacilli; Caryophanales; Staphylococcaceae.
CAGGAUGAACGCUGGCGGCGUGCCUAAUACAUGCAAGUCGAGCGAACAGACAAGGAGCUUGCUCCUUUGACGUUAGCGGCGGACGGGUGAGUAACACGUGGGUAACCUACCUAUAAGACUGGGAUAACUUCGGGAAACCGGAGCUAAUACCGGAUAAUAUUUCGAACCGCAUGGUUCGAUAGUGAAAGAUGGUUUUGCUAUCACUUAUAGAUGGACCCGCGCCGUAUUAGCUAGUUGGUAAGGUAACGGCUUACCAAGGCGACGAUACGUAGCCGACCUGAGAGGGUGAUCGGCCACACUGGAACUGAGACACGGUCCAGACUCCUACGGGAGGCAGCAGUAGGGAAUCUUCCGCAAUGGGCGAAAGCCUGACGGAGCAACGCCGCGUGAGUGAUGAAGGUCUUCGGAUCGUAAAACUCUGUUAUUAGGGAAGAACAUACGUGUAAGUAACUAUGCACGUCUUGACGGUACCUAAUCAGAAAGCCACGGCUAACUACGUGCCAGCAGCCGCGGUAAUACGUAGGUGGCAAGCGUUAUCCGGAAUUAUUGGGCGUAAAGCGCGCGUAGGCGGUUUUUUAAGUCUGAUGUGAAAGCCCACGGCUCAACCGUGGAGGGUCAUUGGAAACUGGAAAACUUGAGUGCAGAAGAGGAAAGUGGAAUUCCAUGUGUAGCGGUGAAAUGCGCAGAGAUAUGGAGGAACACCAGUGGCGAAGGCGACUUUCUGGUCUGUAACUGACGCUGAUGUGCGAAAGCGUGGGGAUCAAACAGGAUUAGAUACCCUGGUAGUCCACGCCGUAAACGAUGAGUGCUAAGUGUUAGGGGGUUUCCGCCCCUUAGUGCUGCAGCUAACGCAUUAAGCACUCCGCCUGGGGAGUACGACCGCAAGGUUGAAACUCAAAGGAAUUGACGGGGACCCGCACAAGCGGUGGAGCAUGUGGUUUAAUUCGAAGCAACGCGAAGAACCUUACCAAAUCUUGACAUCCUUUGACAACUCUAGAGAUAGAGCCUUCCCCUUCGGGGGACAAAGUGACAGGUGGUGCAUGGUUGUCGUCAGCUCGUGUCGUGAGAUGUUGGGUUAAGUCCCGCAACGAGCGCAACCCUUAAGCUUAGUUGCCAUCAUUAAGUUGGGCACUCUAAGUUGACUGCCGGUGACAAACCGGAGGAAGGUGGGGAUGACGUCAAAUCAUCAUGCCCCUUAUGAUUUGGGCUACACACGUGCUACAAUGGACAAUACAAAGGGCAGCGAAACCGCGAGGUCAAGCAAAUCCCAUAAAGUUGUUCUCAGUUCGGAUUGUAGUCUGCAACUCGACUACAUGAAGCUGGAAUCGCUAGUAAUCGUAGAUCAGCAUGCUACGGUGAAUACGUUCCCGGGUCUUGUACACACCGCCCGUCACACCACGAGAGUUUGUAACACCCGAAGCCGGUGGAGUAACCAUUUGGAGCUAGCCGUCGAAGGUGGGACAAAUGAUUGGGGUGAAGUCG